GGUUUGCUGAACCUAAAAUCAGCAGCACGAGGACAUGGCAACGUCCUAAAAAGCCUA
This 57-nucleotide non-coding RNA is filed under the name unclassified sequences. Its description in RNAcentral is "GP20-b RNA". It matches the Rfam family "GP20-b RNA". The record is from RNAcentral.